GAUGAAGAACGUGGCGAAAUGCGAUAAGUAGUGUGAAUUGCAGAAUUCAGUGAAUCAUCGAAUCUUUGAACGCACAUUGCGCCCUUUGGUAUUCCAAAGGGCAUGCCUGUUCGAGCGUCAUUUGUACCCUCAAGCUUUGCUUGGUGUUGGGCGUCUUGUCUCUAGCUUUGCUGGAGACUCGCCUUAAAGUAAUUGGCAGCCGGCCUACUGGUUUCGGAGCGCAGCACAAGUCGCACUCUCUAUCAGCAAAGGUCUAGCAUCCAUUAAGCCUUUUUUUCAACUUUUGACCUCGGAUCAGGUAGGGAUACCCGCUGAACUUAAGCAUAUCAAUAAGCGGAGGA
Molecule: unclassified non-coding RNA, 341 nt
Filed under: soil metagenome
Description: partial contains 5.8S ribosomal RNA, internal transcribed spacer 2, and large subunit ribosomal RNA
Rfam family: 5.8S ribosomal RNA (bases 1-120)
Source: RNAcentral